Molecule: ribosomal RNA, 253 nt
Filed under: uncultured bacterium
Lineage: Bacteria
Description: partial 16S ribosomal RNA
Rfam family: Bacterial small subunit ribosomal RNA
Source: RNAcentral
UACAGAGGCCCCGAGCGUUACCCGGAAUUACUGGGCGUAAAGAGUGCGUAGGUGGUCGUGUUAGUCGUCCGUUAAAUCUCCCGGCUCAACCGGGAAUCCGCGGGCGAAACGGCACGACUCGAGGGAGUGAGAGGCGAAUGGAACUCAUGGUGUAGGGGUGAAAUCCGUUGAUAUCAUGGGGAACACCGAAAGCGAAGGCAAUUCACUGGCACUUUCCUGACACUCAAGCACGAAAGCGUAGGUAGCGAACGGG